UACAGAGGUCUCAAGCGUUGUUCGGAUUCAUUGGGCGUAAAGGGUGCGUAGGCGGGUCUUUAAGUCAGGGGGGAAAUCCUGGAGCUCAACUCCAGAACUGCCUUUGAUACUGAAGAUCUUGAGUUCGGGAGAGGUGAGUGGAACUGCGAGUGUAGAGGUGAAAUUCGUAGAUAUUCGCAAGAACACCAGUGGCGAAGGUGGCUCACUGGCCCGAUACUGACGCUGAGGCACGAAAGCGUGGGGAGCAAACAGG
Molecule: ribosomal RNA, 253 nt
Filed under: uncultured bacterium
Lineage: Bacteria
Description: partial 16S ribosomal RNA
Rfam family: Bacterial small subunit ribosomal RNA
Source: RNAcentral